RNAcentral lists this ribosomal RNA (253 nucleotides) under uncultured bacterium. RNAcentral describes it as "partial 16S ribosomal RNA". It matches the Rfam family "Bacterial small subunit ribosomal RNA", at positions 524 to 776 of the family's 1533-position model. The record is from RNAcentral.
GACGAACCGAGCGAACGUUGUUCGGAAUCACUGGGCUUAAAGGGCGCGUAGGCGGGUGCUCAAGUCCGGGGUGAAAUCCUCCAGCUCAACUGGAGAACUGCCUCGGAUACUGGGUGCCUCGAGGGUGGUAGGGGUAUGCGGAACUAUCGGUGGAGCGGUGAAAUGCGUUGAUAUCGAUAGGAACUCCGGUGUCGAAGGCGGCAUACUGGACCACAUCUGACGCUGAGGCGCGAAAGCCAGGGGAGCAAACGGG